CCGCCAUCUUGGAUUGAACAAUCACAGUAAAAAAUCGGUCUAGUUAUUUGCCUAAAUCUGCAAAUUUGGAGACAGAUUUGCAAUUUGAUGGUUAGACUGUUUAAUAAUAUAAAGAAAACUUGGCAAUUUAUUGUAUAAUUCAAAAUAAUUAAACAAAUAUCAUUUUAUUUUGCUUUUUGAAUCAUUUUUUUCAAAUGAGCCAUUUAAGGGAAGAUAACUCUUUUAGUAAAAAAUUUAUACUGGACAGAUAGGGAAUUUUUUUCUUUUUACUUGUAGCAAGAAAA
Molecule: long non-coding RNA, 284 nt
Filed under: Mytilus galloprovincialis (Mediterranean mussel)
Lineage: Eukaryota; Metazoa; Mollusca; Bivalvia; Mytilida; Mytilidae
Source: RNAcentral